GCAUUUAAGCAAAAUUUCAUUCCAGCCUCUGGUCUCUUUUUCUUUUCUUAGUUUCAAAGCCUUUCCCCCUUUUCUUUCAAGCACCCAACCCUUAAGUUUUUUUAGCCUCCGGCGCACCACCCUCGCGGCCACAAAGACCGAUGGCCGGCGAUGGAGAAAAGGUCUCUAACCUCGGCUUUGGAACACCCUUGAAGGCUAAACCAUCAAUCCCGAAAAAGAAAAAAAAAGAACCUCGGCGCCCUUUGGAUCUGGCGGCCGCGACGAAGAAGAACCCUUCGCGGGCACGAUUACGGCGCUUCCCCGGUAAGUCCCCUCUCCCCCUUUUUUUAAUUUUUUACGUUUUCUUUGUAAAAUAUUUCGUAAAAAGGUGAGUAGAUAAAUAAAUGAAAUAAAUACGUAAAUAAAUAACAAUAAUAAGCGAAAAUCGGAAGAAAAACAAUCAGAUUUUUAUCAACCUUUUAGAAUCUUAGUUCUAUUUUCCUUGAUUCACUGAUGAGUGUUCGUAAAAAAAAAUACAACGAUAAGAUAUUGGCUUUUAUAGCCCUAUUACAACUGUUCAUUUUCAUUUUUUGUUUUUUUGCUCUUUAUUUCUUCGUAUUCUCCUGUUGCUUGCAUUUAUUCUUCUCUGCAGGUGUCAGACAAGGCCGACAGCGGUGGUCAGAAGGCAUGCGCGAUGAGGCAUUGGGCAAAGGCGGCGGCUAGCUUGAGGAUAUGGUUUGCUAUGCCUUUCUGCUAAAAAUGUUAAUGAUGUAGGCUAGGUUUUUAAUUUUUGGGCCUGAUUUGUUUAAUUUUGGGUUUGGUUUUGUUUGCCUGAGCCCGGGCAAAAAUGGGCUCUCACACUUUUAUUCACAGAUUCAAAAUGCUGAUGAUAUUCAACAAAGAAAAAGGAAUCAACAACAUUACUAAUGACUUGUAGAUGUAAAUCUUGAAAGAACAAAGAAAAAAACGAAAGAAAACUUUUGAGCAAACACAGCAAAGAACACAAUGUUGCUUAGAUUAGAUUUAGAAAAAUACCCAGAAAGAAGCUUUGAAGCAAAAAGGAGAGAGAGAAUCGUACAAUGGAUGUAGUUUGGUUUGCACUUUGCAGCCAGCGAUAGAGAAAAGGGAAAUGGGGGGCUAGGGAUUUGUGGAAGAGGGAAAUGGGGGAAAUGGCUUGGGACUGGAGUGGGGGGGGGGGGGGACGGGAUUCACAUUCACGGGAAAAAAAGAAAUGUGCUUAAAAAAAUAAAAAAAUAUAUAUUAUUCGGGCUGGGCCCGGGCUUAAAAAUUUUUGCCCGAGGCCCGGCCCAUUUUUUAAACGGGCCUCAUUUUUUGCCCAAGCCCAUAUUUUGGGCCUAUAUUUUUACCCAAACUCUCUCAUAUUUCAGGUGGGUAGUCGGGCCGGGUCGCACACCUCUACUUUGAAAAUCGUGUUUUGAUUUGGGUACAUGAAUUUCUCUCUUUUCUUUUCCGUUUCUAGGAGCGGGACAUGCUUUUUUGUUUCAUUUAAGGAUAGUGAUUUUGGAUAAGGUUGGGAAUUCAUAUUUCGAAUUUAUUCUUUAUCGUGGAUUUUAGAGUGAAUUAAUAAAUUUAGAUAUCUAAAUCUGAUUAUAAAAUAUUUAAUUUUUUUUCUAACAAGAUUUAGAUUUAUUUAUAGGUCAUAAAAUUUUAAGUUGGUUUGAUAGGUCCGAUUCCGAUUUCGCUCGAAAGAUGGGUUAAAAUUUUGACCAAAUCUAGUCCGGAUAAAAAUGUUAUAACAUGGGCCUGGCUCAGCCCGUCCGUAUUAAAUUUUUUAUAUUAUUUUUAUAUAAUUUUUUAAAAUAUAUAACACAUUAAAAACACUAAAACCAUCCAAAUAAAUGCUUCCCAGCAAAUUAAAAAUAAAUUUUAAAAAAAUCUUUAUACUUGAAUAGCACUAAGAUACAUGCAACUUAACAUACAAAUGCUCUAAAAUAAUAGCAAAAUUAACAAUAAAAUAAUAAUUAUACAAUAUCCAAAUAAUAACAACAUAAUAUUAAAAUGACAGCAAAACGGGAAAAAAACAAUAUUUUUUUCUUUUAGCAAAUUCGGGCCGAGCCCGGGCCAGAAAAGCUUUACCCGAGGCCUAGCCCGUUUUCUAAAUGAGCAUUAUUUUUUGCCCAAACCCAUUUUUUAUUCCUAUAUUUUUCCCAAACUCUCUUACUUUUCUAACAGGCCCUUGGGUCGAACUAGGUGCCCGACUCAUGAAUAUUUCUAACAAAAUUUGACCCAAAGCCAUUUAUAUAUGAAAAGAAGCAUUAAUAUUUCUGUUAAACUUUAAUUAUAAUUUACACAAGAUAAUAAAUAUCUAACCCACAGACAUUCUAAUCUUCGUGUUUUCUAUCUCAUCCCUAUAUUUCCUUUAGUUUUUAAAGUAUCAAUCAACCAACUAUUCAUAUUCCCAAUCUGAUCCCUCAAACCAAACCCCUCUCACCCAAUCCCACUCAAACUCAUUGCACAUAACACAAACAAGACUAUACCCAAUCUAGAAGGAAUAGCUGCAUUACAGCAUGCAUUUCCACAAGACAAAAAUUAUACUUGGCAAACUCAGAUUAUUCCAUAUGAUCUGCUAGCUAGACCUUGUCAUCCACUAUUUCUGAGAUGAAGAAGCUUUAUUUGAAGUUCUUUCCUUUUUAUCAUUCCUCAACAACAAAUAUCCCCUUAAUGCAUUAUGAAUCACACAGUCUUCUCUUUCAACAUCAUAGGGUAGAAUUCUUUGAAUUACAUUCAGGAACUCAUAAUCCAAUGACUACUCUACAAUGGACAAAUCCCAAAUUUCUUCUUCUGUUUUCUUGAUUUUAGGUUGUUGGUAAUAUCUGAGAAUUAUCAGUUAUUCUUGGAUUCUUAAUUUCUGGUAUCCAUCUAUCCCACCAAAUACUAAUCUUCUACCAUAUCACUUGGCACAAAUUGUCAUCAUUUGGUUAAUGGUUGAAUUAAUUAUUUAAAAAAUCUAUUUUGUAAAAGCUUUCUACAUUUUGAUUAAUUCGAUUUAUUUAUUGAUCUAAUUAAUCGUUUGAACACCUUAACUCUAAUUCGAUCUCCAUUUUCUUGAUGGUGCCUUUUAGACAAACUUCUUAUGGGUUAUUUCGAGAAUCAUACAUGAUUAGAAAUUUUAGUUGACCUUUGACUAUCAUGCGUAACAACUAGUCAACUAUUAUGCGUAACAAUUUCGUACUACCUCAACAAAAAAAAUACCAGAGCAGUACCACACUUGACUGCAACCCAUGUAAAACGGCCUUGCCAACUAGUCGACCAUUCGAUCACCAUAUCUCAAAAUUAUCGGCGACGUGACACUGUUGGACAUGAAACCUUCUCCUAUAAGUACCUAAAGGAAUGAUGAAGAAGGAAUCAUUUUCCCUAUCAACAUUAAAUAAAAUCCUCACACUCUACCUAUCUUAUCUUCACAAUCCCCUUUACCUUACUCCCUUCUUCAGUUCUAUGUUUGUUUAAGUAAACCGACCUCCUUGGUACCAUCAUCUUUUCCUCUUGUCUCCUCCUUGUUUAGGUAAAACUUGUACCAAUAAAUAUAAUAAAUAUAAUUUAAUAUGAAUCCAAAGUCUAAUUAAAAGAUAAUAAUUGUAACACCAAUAAAAAAUAUAUAAUUAAUAAAAAUAAUUGUUUUAUAUUUCAAUUAAUAACUUGUUAUCGAAAACAAACAUAAAACCUAUAAUUAAUUUUAUAUUCAAUGGCUACAAUAAAAACAUUACCAAUAAAAUAAUUAUAAUUAUAAUUAUAAUUGUAAUUGUAAUUAUUAAUUGAUUCUAGAAAUUUAAAAAAAAAAUGAGGAACAUAAUUAAAAAUAGGUCUGUUCAUGAAUCGGGUUACCCAUCCAAGCCCGAAGGCUUGUCCAAAAUUUAGGAGGGUUUGGGCAAAAAUAUUAGGCUCAAAAAAUAGGCUCGGGCAAAAAAAAAUAGUUCCGUUUAAAAUAUGGGCCGAGCGCAGUCUUGAACAUUCAAAGCCCAAGCCUGACCCAUUUUUAAAUUUAUAAUACGUUAUAUUAUGUUAUUUUUAUAAAUUAUAUAAUUUAGAACACUUUAAAAAAAAUAAGCCUAUACUAAAUAUAUAAUCCUAAUCUAAUGUAAACAUUAAAAUAAUCAUAAGAUGACUAUAUAAAAAUUUUCAAUAAAUAAAAAAUGUCUAAAAUUAUUAAAUAUUAAAAUAAAAUGAUAUAUAUAUUUUUUUUAAAAUUUAAAAAAUAAUAUGAGCGGACCUAAAAUGAGCUUGGGUUAGUCUUAUACAAAUAUAGAUGAGUUUGGGCAAAAUUUUAGGCUAAUAUUUUAGGUCGGGUCAAGCUUGAACAAAUAUAAAGUAUGUUAAUAUAGUGCUUAGGCCUCAUGAGCACCUCCAGCUAAAAAUAAUAAGUUAUAAUUGAACAAUUUUCUUUAUCUUAAUUUUUUAAAUAGAUUAAGGUGAGAGAGAAUACAAUAUUUUCCAUAUGUAUUAAAAUUAGGGUUAAAUAUAAAAUUAGUACCCGAAUUUGUCCACUUCUCUUAAAUUGGUACUUAAAGUUUUCUUUGUCCCAAAUUAGUACCCAAAUUUUUUUUCUGUCAAUUAGUUUAGUAUCUGAGCCUAACGGCAUUAAAUUUUUGCUAACGUGAUAACACUGGCCACCCGCACCCUGCUAUGUGUCACUUUAUUUGGCUUGAAAAGCUGUAUUAUUUUCCAUUUCAUUUUAUAUUUUUAAAAACCCUUUCAUUUAUUUUUUGUUUUAUUUUUUUUUCCUUUGAAAUUUCCUUUCUCCAUCAUCUUCUACCUCUUUCGCUGCUGCAACUUUUUUUUUCGUUUUUUCCUUUCACUUUCUCUACUUGACCUUCUCGUCUUCUACCUCUCUUCUAUCAAUUUCAUUUUUUUUUCUUUUUUUUCCUUUCACUAGUUGUUUCGUUUUCUAUCUCUUUGUGUCAUCUAUUCAUAAAACAUGUAUUAAAGGAAGAAAACAAUCGAAAAUGUCUUCUUCAACAAAACUCAGAACAUUAACUUCACAAACCCAUCAGAACACCCAUCAAUCCAUUAAAAAAUUCAUAAAAUUAACUUCACAAACAAAACUCACCAAUUCUAAAAAAUCAAAUUGAAUUCAAGAAAAAUUGAACUUAUAUAUAUUUUUGUCAAUCUUAAUUUAACUUUGGUGUAAGAAAGGGAUUGGAUUCUGCAAUUUGCAGUGACUUUAUCUACCCAAAGUAGCAAAAAAAAAAAAAAAAGAUGUGAUGGUAAGGCUAACAGGGAAGCAGCAACAAACACCAUGAACGACAAGAUUUCUAUUGAUAAGCAUUGUUAUCGGCCUUUUAUUGAUUGGUUUUAUUGUCGAUAUUUUCUGGGCUUCAUCUUCUCGUUUCAAGCUUUUAUCUCUUUCAAUUUCGAAUAAUUGGUCCCCUCAUUCAUCUAAUUUUCCUGCUACAUUUUCGUUCCAGUUCAAUGAGCCUCUUAAUUCGUUAGCAAACCAAAAACCCAAGGUGAAAAAACACUCUUUUUGUUGUUUCAGUGGUGGAAAAAAACCCAAGAUGGUGCCUACUACUAUUCCUCGUUUAGAUGUUGUUGCUAUUUAGAUUAAGAAUCCUCAACUUAACAGUCGAAUUCCAUGAUGAUUCAAAAGUUGACCAGUGCCAUUAUUUGGACCGGAGAACAAACGCCGGUGACAACGCUGGAGUGAAGCUGUGGUGCAUGCUAGUGGCGGCUAGGGUUGGGAAGGGUUGGGAAAGAGAAAAGGAGAAUAACAGAACAGAAAAAAAAAUGAAAAUGGGAAAGGAUAAAAGUAGAGGAAAAAGGGAAAAAAAAACGAGAAAGUGAAAUAGAAAAUGGACUAUGACAUCAUCAUGAUGUCAUUAUGCCACUUGUCACAUGUCUUGAUUUAACCGUGUUAAAAAAAUACCAAAUUAGUUGACGGAAAAAACGUACUGAGACAAAAAAAAAACUUUAAGUAUUAAUCUGAAAAAAGUAGAUAAAUUCGAGUACCAAUUUUAUACUUAACUCUUAAAAUUAUUAUGAAUGACACCAAGUAACUGAAAAAAAAUAUCCUUCAACUAUCUUGUAUUGGGGGUUUUUCUUACUUUACAAUUGAAACUCAAAGAAAAGUGGCUUUUUUACACCAACAUUAUAAAAAUAUAUAUUAAAUUUGAAAAUGAGUUAGAUGUUUGAUUAUAUACGAAAAUGGUAUAGAUGGGGUGGUGGAAUGUGGUGGAUAGGCGCCGGCACCACCCUAAAACUACUUGUUUCAAUUUUUUUCAUUUGAAAUAUAUAUAUUUUAAUAGAUUGUGCCAUGUUGAUAGGUGGCACCAAACAAAAAUACACCCCGUACAACCCCUUUUUAACCCGUUUUAACCCUGUACCACACAGCUUGAGGAGUGCCUAGUGAAGCCUACUUGGUAGGCGGCACCGAUAGUGGUUGUGCCUGCAUGACAGGCAGCACCGGUCUGGCAUG
Molecule: long non-coding RNA, 6409 nt
Filed under: Gossypium raimondii (Peruvian cotton)
Lineage: Eukaryota; Viridiplantae; Streptophyta; Magnoliopsida; Malvales; Malvaceae
Description: long non-coding RNA (GRAI_LNC010461)
Source: RNAcentral